AAAAAAUCAAAAUUAAUCCAAAAAAUAAUUCUAAUUCAGAAAAUGAAAGAGAAAAAUAUUUAAAUAUUUUUGGUGAAAGUCUCAUAUUUUUUGGAUUAAAAAUGAAAUUAUUAUGAAUUAAACAAAAUAAAGAAAUUAAAUGAAAAAUUAGAAAAUACAAAAAAAAAAAUAGGGCCAUCAGAUCUCCCUUAUUAAUUGAGGUGGAAGAUCUAAUGGGCACACGCGCGCG
RNAcentral lists this long non-coding RNA (229 nucleotides) under Lathyrus oleraceus (garden pea). Its description in RNAcentral is "Pisum sativum (pea) long non-coding RNA (PSAT_LNC001592)". Lineage: Eukaryota; Viridiplantae; Streptophyta; Magnoliopsida; Fabales; Fabaceae. The record is from RNAcentral.